UUCGAAAAAGGCAAACCUGCCGCGAGGUAGGGACGCAAAGCCAAGGGUCUCUGGUGAGACAGCCAGGUUACCUAAA
Molecule: non-coding RNA, 76 nt
Organism: Chloroflexi bacterium RBG_19FT_COMBO_55_16
Lineage: Bacteria; Bacillati; Chloroflexota
Source: Rfam